UGUUACUUCUUUGUAAUAUUGUUUUUUUUUUGCUUUAUCCUGAUAUUGUAUUCUAAUUACUAAUCAUUCCACUUUAUUCUGUGCUUUCAGAAACCACACACACACAAACAGUAUUGAACAUUAUUUUCCAAAAUCAUAUCUGGAACUGGACAUAGCUGGAAUCUUUCAAGCAACAUACUGUUUGAACGUAAACUCCUCAAGUUUUACUGGAUGAAAUCACAGCAAGAAAACACAUAGGCCUAGGUGUAAUAAUCGUCUAUUUUAUUGAAGAAUUGGUGGUGGUUGAACAACAACAACAGAACUUGUUUUACGAGAGGAAACUAAACAGCAAGAAUAGACUGACAACUUAUGAAUAUCCAUAACCCAUAUUUAUGCAGUGAUUGAACAACAACAGCAUUUCCACACCCCACCUCUAAAGGCAUAGAAUUACGGAAGUUCACCUGUCACGUCAGUCAGAAAUUGCUACAGAUUUGCUGAAUAUUGCUUGAGCAUAUGGCACUUCCCAAAGCAUGGUGAAACACACAGAGCUGUGUCAUAAGCUAACCACAUGUACUUUGUAAACCUCCUCUGCUUCCUUUUCCUGGUGUCCGUCAGGCAGACUUUGCAGUGCCUCUGUGUGCGACUGCCUUCACCAGCAGUUUGAGGGACUUCGCAGGGAAAAGGCCGUGCAGUGAGGCGUAGGGGAUUGUCUGCAGCAGGACGACACCCCUCUCAUUAGGUUUUUGCUGUACUUUUGGCAGGUCAUUAAUUUACCUAUGGGGGAGAGGGAGUGGGGAGGAUGAGGGAUUGGAGAGGAUAAUGAGGCAGUGGGUAGGUGGUCCAGCUUCCCUGUGGCCGACAUGGUUGCUGUAUGGACAGUGGAGAGGACACAGACGUCUCGCUUUUCAUGCCACUUUACUGUCAGCUGUUGGCCGUUCUAUUUGAACCUUCCCUCUCUGCAUCUUCCUGCCUCCGAAUGCUAACAUCCCCUUCCUGUUCGACCUGACUGUGACACAAGCCCUGUGCUGUUGGAGAGGAGAUACUGGAAGAGUGUGGGACUGCUGUACAAACUGCCCACGUACAAAGUGUGUCCCGUGCCGAGAUGAGGAGCCAGCAUGGUCAUCACCAUGGACCCGGACACUCCAAGCCCCUCAUAAUGUUGGAUGUCAGUGGUGGACCCUGUGUAAAUCAUAAUGUAAUGGACAAAUCCUGUCAUGUCGCACGUAACAAAGAACUUGACCCCAAACCUGUGGGUUUUGGAGGGAAUAUCUUGCCAGCCUACCCUUCCAUAACAUCAGGGACUCAUCAAUGCAUACGUCCUUGUAUGGCACAAAGACCCAACCAAAUGCUCAUGUCAGGCUGCUCCUCUGUCAGAAAUAGCUUGAAGCACACUGCCUCAGAGAGAAAUGGCAAGUGGCUUUGUACUCCAGACUGGGACUCAUCAACGCAAACAGCAGGGCCAGGAGGGGUGAAAUGGCUGGCGGCCUUCCAGCUACCACAGAACUCCUGUACUUCAUCCACUGUCGGUCUGCAUCCAUCACCACCAGCAUCUUCAAAGGGACUUGGAUCUUCGUCAGUGGACAAGUGGUCCUCAGAUUUAGGGUUCUCAAUGGCUACAAGGUUGGGGUGCUCACUGUCAUUGUCAGAAUCUGAUUCCUUACUUUCAUUCUCAGACUCACUGUCAUAAUUUAUAAUCAUCUCCAGAAUUACUGCAUUUGUGAGUUGUCUCCUUUUGAAAGUCAUUGCUAAUGCUCUAGCUUAGCACACUAGCUAGAUACAUAAACAACAACACUGAAUGGCUCAGGGUGGGUGUCAGAGGUUAUGUGAUUGACUGCUGGCACGCACCACUUGUAUCAAUAAGUCACUAUCAGAAAAUGUUUUGUAUGGUAAUUAUUUACUGUUUUAUUCACGUUUAAGUACUGGUGACAAAUCAUGAAUUCCGAUUCUUGCAUAGAUUGUAAUGGACACAUACGUAUGACGUGUUAAAAUUAUUUUUUGAAGGUUGUACUGAUUAUGAUGAGCUAAGCUAAUUCUAGCUAUGUGUGGAGCCAUGUCUGUUGACAUACAAUGCAUUCUGGGUUUCACAUAAAUGUCUGUCAGACCAAAGAUGUUAUAACAAAAUGAAGUGAGGGAGGGUUCACUCAUAUUUCAAGUAAACUUCCGGAAGUGAAUGAUGGGAUGUGAAUAAUGGAAGACGACACAGCCCCUUCAACAUGCAUUCUGCAAACAGACCAAACUCAUCUUGUCGCAUCUUAUUAUCUUUGGUUAAAGCGAAAAAACAAACUUGGCGGCGCAUACUAACUACCCAUCGUCGGAUUACUUUUGAUUUCUAGAAAGUGUUUUACUCAAUUAUUUCAAUCAAUGUUGAGCUCACCCGUGAUGAGACGAAUUAUACAUAUAAUUGCUAUUAGCUAAUUCACAUUGUGGUUUCUUUCAGCCGAGAGUUAUCUAAAUACAAUCGCUUGUGUUAUGUCACAAGCUUGUGUUAUUUCCUCAGUUCCCGAUAGGACUAAUGAACCUACAUUUUCCGGUUUGGAUGAUUGUGUAUGCUGUAGCUACUUCUGUGAAGGUCUGAACAUUGGAUCCAAAAAUAAAUCUUGUCACAUUCAGGACAUAACUUUUGUGAGGACUUUUUCUGUGAAAAAACAGUGUGGCCAGCUCAAAUGCUGACUAUUGUGUCAAUCGAAACUGGCAGUUCUAUAUACGCGUUCUUGUCACACCGGUUGAUCGUAAGCUGCAGGGACCACUGUAGAAUGAUCACACCCAUGUCUGUAUGUGUGAACAUUUUUCAUUUAAAAAAAAUAAAUCUUUCAAAAUUGUG
Molecule: long non-coding RNA, 2800 nt
Organism: Oncorhynchus tshawytscha (Chinook salmon)
Lineage: Eukaryota; Metazoa; Chordata; Actinopteri; Salmoniformes; Salmonidae
Source: Ensembl